RNAcentral lists this ribosomal RNA (427 nucleotides) under uncultured bacterium. Its description in RNAcentral is "bacterial SSU rRNA". It matches the Rfam family "Bacterial small subunit ribosomal RNA", at positions 338 to 784 of the family's 1533-position model. The record is from RNAcentral.
CCUACGGGUGGCAGCAGUGGGGAAUAUUGCACAAUGGAGGAAACUCUGAUGCAGCGACGCCGCGUGAACGAUGAAGGCUUUCGAGUCGUAAAGUUCUGUCCUAGGGGACGAUAAUGACGGUACCCUAGGAGGAAGCCCCGGCUAAUUACGUGCCAGCAGCCGCGGUAAUACGUAAGGGGCGAGCGUUGUCCGGAAUUAUUGGGCGUAAAGGGUUCGCAGGCGGCCUUUUAAGUCAGAUGUGAAAUCUCACGGCUUAACCGUGGUAAGCAUUUGAAACUGGAAGGCUUGAGUUAAGGAGAGGAAAGUGGAAUUCCUAGUGUAGCGGUGAAAUGCGUAGAUGUUAGGAAGAAUACCAGUGGCGAAGGCGACUUUCUGGACUUAUACUGACGCUGAGGACGAAAGCAUGGGGAGCAAACAGGAUUAGAUA